Molecule: ribosomal RNA, 490 nt
Filed under: uncultured bacterium
Lineage: Bacteria
Description: partial 16S ribosomal RNA
Rfam family: Bacterial small subunit ribosomal RNA
Source: RNAcentral
AUUGAACGCUGGCGGCAUGCUUUACACAUGCAAGUCGGACGGCAGCGGGGUAGUGCUUGCACUACUGCCGGCGAGUGGCGAACGGGUGAGUAAUAUAUUGGAACGUACCGAGUAAUGGGGGAUAACCAAUCGAAAGAUUGGCUAAUACCGCAUACGCUCUGAGGAGGAAAGCAGGGGACCUUCGGGCCUUGCGUUAUUCGAGCGGCCAAUAUCUGAUUAGCUAGUUGGUGGGGUAAGGGCCUACCAAGGCGACGAUCAGUAGCGGGUCUGAGAGGAUGAUGCGCCACGCUGAGAGUGAGACACGGCCCAGACUCCUACGGGGGGAAGCAGUGGGGAAUUUUGGCCAAUGGGCGCAAGACUGAUCCAGCCAUGCCGAGUGUCUGAAGAAGGCCUUCGGGUUGUAAAGGACUUUUGUUAGGGAAGAAAAAGGAGCGGUUAAUACCCGUUUCUGCUGACGGUACCUAAAGAAUAAGCACCGGCUAACUACGUG